RNAcentral lists this ribosomal RNA (497 nucleotides) under uncultured bacterium. Its description in RNAcentral is "partial 16S ribosomal RNA". It matches the Rfam family "Bacterial small subunit ribosomal RNA", at positions 28 to 507 of the family's 1533-position model. The record is from RNAcentral.
GAUGAACGCUGGCGGCGUGCCUAAUACAUGCAAGUCGAGCGAACGGACGAGAAGCUUGCUUCUCUGAUGUUAGCGGCGGACGGGUGAGUAACACGUGGAUAACCUACCUAUAAGACUGGGAUAACUUCGGGAAACCGGAGCUAAUACCGGAUGAUAUUUUGAACCGCAUGGUUCAAAAGUGAAAGACGGUCUUGCUGUCACUUAUAGAUGGAUCCGCGCUGCAUUAGCUAGUUGGUAAGGUAACGGCUUACCAAGGCAACGAUGCAUAGCCGACCUGAGAGGGUGGCCGGCAACAGGAGAAAAGGAAACCGGCCCGAACCCUGCGGAGGGCAAGGAGAAGGAACUCUUAGGAAAGGGGGGAAAGCUUGAUGGAAAACCCCCGGGUGAGUGAUGAAGGGCUUGGGUUCAAAAAACUGUUUUAUUAGGAAGGAAAAUGUGUGAAGGAAAUGGGGCACAUCUUAGCGUUACUAAAUGAAAAAGCCGCGGCUAACUACGUG